AGCGAACGCUGGCGGCAGGCCUAACGCAUGCAAGUCGAACGAACCUUUCGGGGUUAGUGGCGGACGGGUGAGUAACACGUGGGAACGUGCCUUUAGGUUCGGAAUAACUCAGGGAAACUUGUGCUAAUACCGAAUGUGCCCUUCGGGGGAAAGAUUUAUCGCCUUUAGAGCGGCCCGCGUCUGAUUAGCUAGUUGGUUGAGGUAAUGGCUCACCAAGGCGACGAUCAGUAGCUGGUCUGAGAGGAUGAUCAGCCACAUUGGGACUGAGACACGGCCCAAACUCUUACGGGAGGCAGCAGUGGGGAAUCUUGCGCAAUGGGCGAAAGCCUGACGCAGCCAUGCCGCGUGAAUGAUGAAGGUCUUAGGAUUGUAAAAUUCUUUCACCGGGGACGAUAAUGACGGUACCCGGAGAAGAAGCCCCGGCUAACUUCGUG
Molecule: ribosomal RNA, 434 nt
Filed under: uncultured bacterium
Lineage: Bacteria
Description: partial 16S ribosomal RNA
Rfam family: Bacterial small subunit ribosomal RNA
Source: RNAcentral